RNAcentral lists this ribosomal RNA (533 nucleotides) under uncultured bacterium. RNAcentral's name for it is "bacterial LSU rRNA". It matches the Rfam family "Bacterial large subunit ribosomal RNA", at positions 644 to 1179 of the family's 2925-position model. The record is from RNAcentral.
GCUUAACCGAGUAGGGGAGGCGUAGGGAAACCGAGUCCGAAUAGGGCGCAUAGUUGCUGGGCGUAGACCCGAAACCAAGUGAUCUAUCCAUGGCCAGGUUGAAGGUGCCGUAACAGGUACUGGAGGACCGAACCCACUAGUGUUGCAAAACUAGGGGAUGAGCUGUGGAUAGGGGUGAAAGGCUAAACAAACUUGGAAAUAGCUGGUUCUCUCCGAAAACUAUUUAGGUAGUGCCUCACGUAUCACUCUCGGGGGUAGAGCACUGUCAUGGCUAGGGGGUCAUCGCGACUUACCAAACCAUAGCAAACUCCGAAUACCGAGAAGUGCGAGCGUGGGAGACAGACAUCGGGUGCUAACGUCCGGUGUCAAGAGGGAAACAACCCAGACCGCCAGCUAAGGUCCCAAAUGACGUGCUAAGUGGUAAACGAAGUGGGAAGGCAUAGACAGCCAGGAUGUUGGCUUAGAAGCAGCCAUCAUUUAAAGAAGCGUAAUAGCUCACUGGUCGAGUCGUCCUGCGCGGAAGAUGUAACGGG